GACGAACGCUGGCGGCGUGCUUAACACAUGCAAGUCGAACGGAAAGGCCCUGCUUUUGUGGGGUGCUCGAGUGGCGAACGGGUGAGUAACCCGUGGGUAACCUGCCCUUGACUUUGGGAUAACUUCAGGAAACUGGGGCUAAUACCGGAUAGGAGCUGCUGCUGCAUGGUGGGGGUUGGAAAGUUUCGGCGGUUGGGGAUGGACUCGCGGCUUAUCAGCUUGUUGGUGGGGUAGUGGCUUACCAAGGCUUUGACGGGUAGCCGGCCUGAGAGGGUGACCGGCCACAUUGGGACUGAGAUACGGCCCAGACUCCUACGGGAGGCAGCAGGGGGGAAUAUUGCACAAUGGGCGGAAGCCUGAUGCAGCAACGCCGCGUGCGGGAUGACGGCCUUCGGGUUGUAAACCGCUUUCGCCUGUGACGAAGCGUGAGUGACGGUAAUGGGUAAAGAAGCACCGGCUAACUACGUG
RNAcentral lists this ribosomal RNA (468 nucleotides) under uncultured bacterium. RNAcentral's name for it is "partial 16S ribosomal RNA". It matches the Rfam family "Bacterial small subunit ribosomal RNA", at positions 28 to 507 of the family's 1533-position model. The record is from RNAcentral.